ACACUGCUGAUGAGUCCCACAACAGGACGAAAUGGCUGUCUAGUGC
This 46-nucleotide non-coding RNA is filed under the name Schistosoma margrebowiei. Lineage: Eukaryota; Metazoa; Platyhelminthes; Trematoda; Strigeidida; Schistosomatidae. The record is from RNAcentral.